This 252-nucleotide ribosomal RNA is filed under the name uncultured bacterium. RNAcentral describes it as "partial 16S ribosomal RNA". It matches the Rfam family "Bacterial small subunit ribosomal RNA", at positions 524 to 776 of the family's 1533-position model. The record is from RNAcentral.
UACGGAGGAUGCGAGCGUUAUCCGGAUUUAUUGGGUUUAAAGGGUGCGUAGGCGGACGCUUAAGUCAGCGGUAAAAUUGCGGGGCUCAACCUCGUCGAGCCGUUGAAACUGGGUGCCUUGAGUGGGCGAGAAGUACGCGGAAUGCGUGGUGUAGCGGUGAAAUGCAUAGAUAUCACGCAGAACUCCGAUUGCGAAGGCAGCGUACCGGCGCCCCACUGACGCUGAAGCACGAAGGCGUGGGUAUCGAACAGG